Molecule: ribosomal RNA, 253 nt
Filed under: uncultured bacterium
Lineage: Bacteria
Description: partial 16S ribosomal RNA
Rfam family: Bacterial small subunit ribosomal RNA
Source: RNAcentral
UACGGAGGGUGCAAGCGUUAUCCGGAAUCACUGGGUUUAAAGGGUGCGUAGGCGGUCAUGUAAGUCAGGGGUGAAAGCCCGGCGCUUAACGUCGGAAUUGCCUUUGAUACUGCGUGACUUGAAUCAGGUUGAGGUGGGCGGAAUGUGACAUGUAGCGGUGAAAUGCAUAGAUAUGUCAUAGAACACCAAUUGCGAAGGCAGCUCACUGGCCCUGAAUUGACGCUGAGGCACGAAAGCGUGGGGAUCAAACAGG